UUCUAAUCUGUAUUGGAUUGUUUCCUUGUUUCCUGUGAGUUACUCUCAUCCCCUUUUCAGGAGUUGAGCUUCUGAAGAGGCUAAUUUAUCAUAUACUUUUUAUAUUAGAUGCUUCCCAAACUCCUUCCAGCUGCAAAUAAAAACUCCAGCUCAAACUAGCUUCAACAAGAAGGACAUUUCUUAUCUCAUGUAGUUAGAGGACCAGCCAUAGGGCGGGCUCUAGGCUUGGCAUGUUGGGGUCUCAGCUCCACCUCUCUCUGUGAUGCUCCGCCUUCUUUUAUGAGUUGAUUUCAUCUUCAGGCCAAUAGGAGAAUGGCUGUGACCAUUCCUGAGCCCCUUCAGUUAUGACAAUAUCUGGAGAGAAUAAAUGCCUACGGGAAUGUGGAAACUUAUUCUUCAGAAUAAGUCUUCUUCAGAAGACCACCUCACACCGGAAUUAGCCAGAAUUGAGUUACAUGGCAUUUCUUCAACUCUGCGAGGAGAUGGGAUUGCCAUGAUGGGCUGCAAAUUGCCCCAGAACUGAGGACAAUAUCAGUUUCCUCAAGGUCAUGUAUGGUGAUGAUGAAGGAGGUGAGAUAUUUGAACAUAAAAGAAGGAAGAAUGGAGGAUGAGCAUCGGAUAGACGAUCAGUGGUGGACUGGGGCUGCCUUGUGCAGGAAAAGAGCAGAACAUCAAGAGAGAAGGGUGAUUUAUCCUGUGACCAGAGUGCACAGAAUCGACUGGAGAAACUAAUCAAAUCAGACUUGAUAAAGCCGAUGCUGCCUUAUAUCCCCUGUGCCUAGAAGCCUUGUCAAGCUGGUCUGCCAUGGAUCCUGAUUUAAAAUACAAGCUGACUCCUUCACCCCUUCUGAGUAGCAAUCCAGCUGCAUGGAUUUCAGCAAUUGGGUUUUUUUUUUAAUCAUUAUUAUUAACUAUAAC
Molecule: long non-coding RNA, 918 nt
Filed under: Felis catus (domestic cat)
Lineage: Eukaryota; Metazoa; Chordata; Mammalia; Carnivora; Felidae
Description: lncRNA (ENSFCAG00000052488.1)
Source: RNAcentral